This 72-nucleotide transfer RNA is filed under the name Gaeumannomyces tritici R3-111a-1. RNAcentral describes it as "tRNA-Ala (CGC) (tRNA-Ala-CGC-2-1)". It matches the Rfam family "tRNA". Rfam says of the family: Transfer RNA (tRNA) molecules are approximately 80 nucleotides in length. Their secondary structure includes four short double-helical elements and three loops (D, anti-codon, and T loops). Lineage: Eukaryota; Fungi; Ascomycota; Sordariomycetes; Magnaporthales; Magnaporthaceae. The record is from RNAcentral.
GGGCGAAUGGUUUAGGGGUAUAACGUUCGCUUCGCAUGCGAAAGGUCCGGGGUUCGAUUCCCUGUUUGUCCA